This 882-nucleotide long non-coding RNA is filed under the name Phascolarctos cinereus (koala). RNAcentral describes it as "lncRNA (ENSPCIG00000033580.1)". Lineage: Eukaryota; Metazoa; Chordata; Mammalia; Diprotodontia; Phascolarctidae. The record is from RNAcentral.
AUGAAAGUUUCAAAAUGGAAGUUAGGAAUUCUUUGUUUUAUAAGUGGAUGUGUAAUGUCUGGUCAGGUGGAUGCUUGUAUUCCUGAUAGAGUUCCAAUGGGACUCUUAAUCACAGAUUGCCCUUAUCCACAACUGAAAACUCUUGAGAUGCAGAGGACUCUUGCCCUAAAAAUCAUUCUUUCCUUUUCUUUUUUUCUACCCACAGAAGCCCCAAGACAGCAACCUGCUGAACCUGAACCAGCCCCAAGGCAACAAACUAGGAAAAGUAAAGGAGAACCAGGCGAACCACCUGAAGGAGAACCAGGUCCACCACCUGAAGGAGAACCAGGUCCACCACCUGAAGGUAAGUAAUAUGUCGAUCUCUAAACACUCCUUUCUUUCCCCGUUCCUUGAGGACCCUAGACCUUGUCUCUCAUUUGAAACCAUUUGGCACAUCCACGCUUAAAGUUCAGUACCAAGAAAGAGAGGGUAAUAAUGAACUAAGAGGGUGGUCAGCUUAAAAGGCUUUGUUUUCUCUUGCCAUUGCAUAGCUCUCAUAUUUCCACCAGAGAAUUUCCCAGAUCAAAAAUCCAAAAUGAUUUUGUCAUCUUUUCCCAAAGCAUAGUUUGCUUUUUUCCAUUGCCUAAUAUCCUAGAUCAAACAUUUCAAGAUCACAUUGUAAUAUGUAAUGCAAUGUUCUCUUCAUGUCUCUGCAGUGUGGGUAUUUCUCUCUCUCUUUCUCUGUGUUUUCACAGUCCCUCUGUGUCUGGUCUUUCUCUGAAUCGAUAUCUUUAUCUCUCUGUCUCUGUCUCGUUUUUUCUCUGCCUUUCUCUCCCUCUGUCUCUCUCUUUUCACACACACACACACACACACACACACACACACCAUACACACACACACAUU